GGGCACACCCGUUAGUUAGGGCUGGGUCCCUAGAAGAAAUCCCUAAGUUCUAGAACUACAUAGCCAGCGUAGGUUAUAAGAUGUCACUCGUUAGAUAGGACUGACAUACUCAGGGAUCACCCGCUAGUUUAGGACUAAUCCUAGGCAUCACCCGCUAGAUUAGGACUAACUCCACAGUAUUUGUUAGUACUCGUGGCAUGGUAUUAGAAUCCUUCUAGCUGGGGUUACAGGUUGGACC
RNAcentral lists this long non-coding RNA (238 nucleotides) under Capsicum annuum. Its description in RNAcentral is "long non-coding RNA (CANN_LNC011064)". The record is from RNAcentral. Lineage: Eukaryota; Viridiplantae; Streptophyta; Magnoliopsida; Solanales; Solanaceae.